GCCAUCUUAGCUCAGUUGGUCAGAGCAGCUGAUUUGUAAUCAGCAGGUCCUCAGUUCGAAUCUGAGAGAUGGCU
Molecule: transfer RNA, 74 nt
Filed under: Minisyncoccota bacterium
Lineage: Bacteria; Bacillati; Minisyncoccota
Description: tRNA-Thr
Rfam family: tRNA
About the family: Transfer RNA (tRNA) molecules are approximately 80 nucleotides in length. Their secondary structure includes four short double-helical elements and three loops (D, anti-codon, and T loops). Further hydrogen bonds mediate the characteristic L-shaped molecular structure. tRNAs have two regions of fundamental functional importance: the anti-codon, which is responsible for specific mRNA codon recognition, and the 3' end, to which the tRNAs corresponding amino acid is attached (by aminoacyl-tRNA synthetases). tRNAs cope with the degeneracy of the genetic code in two manners: having more than one tRNA (with a specific anti-codon) for a particular amino acid; and 'wobble' base-pairing, i.e. permitting non-standard base-pairing at the 3rd anti-codon position.
Source: RNAcentral